CCAUUAAAUAUUCAAGUUCAAGUAAACAAAUAUCGUUUACACAUAAAAACAAGUGACCAGUUCUAUUGUAUUUUUGUCGCAAACAGAAUAUCGGUAAAUACUCAGAUUAUGGUGGAUAAAAAUAAUUAUGUCGGGAACAAUUAUAGGACAGAAAAAAAAAGGAAAUACAGGACGGAAUCAGGAAAGAAGGAACACAAAAUAGGUUAACCAAGGAUAUCUACGUCGAGGGUGGCUUCUGGACUGACCUUUCAGUUGAUUGGUGGCAGGCAGCGUACCGCUUCCACCGGAUUGUCUGAAGCUCGGCGUAGAAAACGAUGGUGACAGGAACAAGAACGAUACCGCAACGACUGUGUCGACAAAGUUGGAAUCCGGAACUCAGGAUAACUGUCCAGGCAUCAAGCUGAUGGUGGCUGUGAUAUGUCCGCACCAGGGGGUGGCGGAAUGACUUUCCACGAUUUACGUUACCGUCUGAUAUAUUAUGUAUAGAUGUUACACCAAAAAGAACAAGAAAAGGAAAAGGCUCUAACGGCGUUAAACGAGCCAAAGUAAUGAUCGGUGUCACAUGUGCUUCCAGAUCCGCUGGGCGAAAACCCAAAAUAUUCCCAAGGGAAAUAAUAGAACACCCUUCUGGUAAUAAAUUUAGGUAAUGGAAUCUUCAAAGUAAGUAGAUCCUUCCAAAUUUAAAGGCUUAAAAUUUUCUCACAAAAUGAAGAUGUAGCAAAUGCACACGACAACCUCUUGUUCAAAAGUGACCGGAAAAGAAAAGAUAAGAAGCGAAGGAAUUUUAUCAAAACCAAGGACGACUGGACAGAAGAGUGGACAACACGAGCAUAGGCAACACACAAUACUUACGGAAGAAACAUAAGGAACGAAACAAACUGUUAUACGGCCCCCCCUUCCAAACGGAGGAACAAUGAAAGUGACGACAAGUGAAGCUUGGGCAACAAAUUAAAAAAAAAACCUUAACGGACAUCUCCCCACAGCAUUGAAUCCAUCCGUUA
Photinus pyralis (common eastern firefly) is the source of this 1001-nucleotide long non-coding RNA. RefSeq lists it as uncharacterized. The transcript has 2 exons. NCBI's taxonomy places the organism in Eukaryota, Metazoa, Arthropoda, Insecta, Coleoptera, Lampyridae. The record is from RefSeq and is a predicted model, not a curated record.